This 25-nucleotide non-coding RNA is filed under the name Rattus norvegicus (Norway rat). Lineage: Eukaryota; Metazoa; Chordata; Mammalia; Rodentia; Muridae. The record is from RNAcentral.
UAUGAAAGUUUGGGGGAAACAAUGU